UGAUUGACGAUGGAUCACCAGUGAGUGGCGGACGGGUGAGUAACACGUAGGUAACCUGCCCCGGAGCGGGGGAUAACAUUUGGAAACAGAUGCUAAUACCGCAUAACAACAAAAGCCACAUGGCUUUUGUUUGAAAGAUGGCUUUGGCUAUCACUCUGGGAUGGACCUGCGGUGCAUUAGCUAGUUGGUAAGGUAACGGCUUACCAAGGCGAUAAUGCAUAGCCGAGUUGAGAGACUGAUCGGCCACAAUGGAACUGAGACACGGUCCAUACUCCUACGGGAGGCAGCAGUAGGGGAUCUUCCACAAUGGGCGCAAGCCUGAUGGAGCAACACCGCGUGAGUGAAGAAGGGUUUCGGCUCGUAAAGCUCUGUUGUUGGAGAAGAACGUGCGUGAGAGUAACUGUUCACGCAGUGACGGUAUCCAACCAGAAAGUCACGGCUAACUACGUGCCAGCAGCCGCGGUAAUACGUAGGUGGCAAGCGUUAUCCGGACUUAUUGUGCGUAAAGCGAGCGCAGGCGGCUGCUUAGGUCUGAUGUUGAAGGCCUUCGGCUUAACCGAAGGAAGUGCAU
RNAcentral lists this ribosomal RNA (571 nucleotides) under uncultured bacterium. RNAcentral's name for it is "bacterial SSU rRNA". It matches the Rfam family "Bacterial small subunit ribosomal RNA", at positions 71 to 626 of the family's 1533-position model. The record is from RNAcentral.